UACGUAGGGUGCGAGCGUUGUCCGGAAUUAUUGGGCGUAAAGAGCUCGUAGGCGGUGUGUCGCGUCGGCCGUGAAAGCCCGGAGCUCAACUCCGGGUCUGCAGUCGAUACGGGCAGACUUGAGUGUUGCAGGGGAGACUGGAAUUCCUGGUGUAGCGGUGAAAUGCGCAGAUAUCAGGAGGAACACCGGUGGCGAAGGCGAGUCCCUGGACGACUCCUGACACUGAGGCACGAAAGCUAGGGGAGCAAACAGG
This 253-nucleotide ribosomal RNA is filed under the name uncultured bacterium. Its description in RNAcentral is "partial 16S ribosomal RNA". It matches the Rfam family "Bacterial small subunit ribosomal RNA", at positions 524 to 776 of the family's 1533-position model. The record is from RNAcentral.